This 253-nucleotide ribosomal RNA is filed under the name uncultured bacterium. RNAcentral's name for it is "partial 16S ribosomal RNA". It matches the Rfam family "Bacterial small subunit ribosomal RNA", at positions 524 to 776 of the family's 1533-position model. The record is from RNAcentral.
UACGGAGGGUGCAAGCGUUAUCCGGAUUCACUGGGUUUAAAGAGUGCGUAGGCGGGCAGGUAAGUCAGUGGUGAAAUCUCCAAGCUUAACUUGGAAACUGCCGUUGAUACUAUCUGUCUUGAAUAUUGUGGAGGUGAGCGGAAUAUGUCAUGUAGCGGUGAAAUGCUUAGAUAUGACAUAGAACACCAAUUGCGAAGGCAGCUCACUACACAAUCAUUGACUCUGAGGCACGAAAGCGUGGGGAUCAAACAGG